AACUCGUGCAAAACAGAAUGGCAUGGUGCCAAGGUUCAGAUUAGCAGCACCUGGGCAUACUGGUUACCUGGGGCAUGGGUUCUGUCAACCAGAAGGGAAUGCAAGGGCUCCCCACUGAGAGGGAGAAAGGAGACCCACUUUCAGUGGAGAACAGCAGCUGACGUGGAGGCUCCUAACAGCCCCUGGGGACUGGCUUCGGCACCGGAGACAAAAAACUGAGCAGAAGGCACGGAGGAAACCAUACAAAAGCAACCUAUUGCUGUGCUGUUUGGCUGCUCUUGGCUGUCGAUGACAAGUGGACUUGUGGUGUUAGGCAGCUCCCAGGGGGAGGAUCUGAAGCACUCUAUCUGUGACACCUCGCUUAAGGAGCUGUCUGGAGGUCUCAGCUUGGUACUGAGAAGUACACGAAUUUAGCAGAACAGAGGCAAAGGAAGAAGAAACUGACCAAGAGCUGGUGGCCGUGUGCUGGGAAGGAUGAUGAAAUAACAAAGUAUUCCCAUCAUGAUUUAUGACUGAAGAGAAAUGCUGUCCAGGUGAUGAUCCAGUCCAUUAUCUUGACGGAGGUGCUGACCACUGUAGGGAAACACAGAGAGCUGAUGUACAACACAAUGGAGAACAAGAAGAAAAAAGGGGGCUUCCAAGUUACAACUGAAAAAAAGCAUAAAUAUGAUUUGUAAUAAUUGGAUGCAAAUAAAAAAGACAAGCGGAAACAUUUAUGCUAUUGCUCCUCCCCCUCAAUGGGCUUUCAUGGAAAAAAAAAUAAAUAAAUCCUAGGAGACCAAGUGUAUUCAAUCUGCUGACACAGGACACGAGGGAAUGGCAUGGAGCUGCAUCAGGGGAUGGUCAGGUUGGAUGUUGGGAAAAGGUUCUGCCCUGUGGUGGGCAUGGCCCCAUGCUGCCGGAGCUCAGGGAGUAUUAGGACAUCACUCUUAGACAUAGGGUAUGGGCUUGGGUGGUCCUAUGUGGAGCUGAGGGUUGGGCUUGGUGAUCCUUGUGUUCCAUCCAACUCGGGAUAUUCUACAAUUCUGUAAAGAUUACUCAUGUUAAAUACAUGUUUCAGAGGGUGAAGCUCCCCUGUCCCAAUACCACCCUUGGUUGGUCUAGAAUGCUCUAUUUUUCCCUUCCAGUUUUGUGUUUUACUACUCAUAAAUCAAGAUUUCUUUGCCCUGCUCUGCAGCUCCUGCACCUUUGCAGAUCAUUAAUACCAAGACAGGGCUGUUAAUCUCUCAGUCCCAAGGUGCAUUACCCCACUUGUAGAAGGAGAGACUUGUAGAAGGGAAACAGUUGGGUCUGUGCCCAGAGCUACUGAGCAGAGGGAUGUACCCCAGGGCUACAUUCGCUCCCAGAACAGUUCCCAUGGGGUGCCUGAUGGUCCUCCACUGAUAGCAUCCAUCGUGUUUUGGGGUGGUUUUAAGGUGGACCAUGGGACCAUGGGCACAAGGUGUCUGUCUGCGGUGAGCUCUGUGCUCUACAGCAGUUUUGCUGCCUGUGAACUACGUCAGCAGCACAUUUGCAAACGCAUAUGUCCUUCGCUGAUCUUACUGAACCUUCAUUCCUGUUGCUUGUACUUCUUAUCCUAUUCAACUCCAGCAGUAUGUAAAAGAGGCUAGCUUUAUUUUUCAGCUUUCUUCCAAUCAGAGAAGGUCAGAGACAAAGCUUGGCAAUGAAAGGCAAUUUCUCCAAACUCAGUGGGCAAGCACAGUGUAGUAGGAAUGCUUUUAAACAACAACAACAAAAAAUCCAAUAACUUCCCUAUAAAUUGUCCAAGAGAGAAAACUUUGUGUUUUUGGCAUUUGUAGCUGUUUCAGCAUUUUUCUGUGUAAGAUGAAAAACUUUUGCAUUGAGCAAAACACAGAUUUAUGAUCAAUAAAGUGAAGUUUUAACAGUUUAUAGGAGCCAUACAUUCUUUUUUUUUUUUAAACUGAUAUUAAAAACUAUCUUUUUCUCUCAACCACAUUAGAAAUCCACCCCAGUGUCAGUCAGGGUUUCAGCACAGCAAACUUUGCAGACAAACUGCUGGAUGGGGUUUACUGCAGGACAAGUAACCACACAAUCCACCCCUCCCUCCCCCUAAUGGGCUUGUGAAAUAAAGCUCCAGUAAGACCUGGGUAUGGAAUUUAAGGUGUGAGCCUGGACUCACACAGUGUUCAGAGGUUUUGGAAGCAGGAGGCUGCUGCAGGUCCCUCUCUGGACCAUUCAGGCAAUAACUGUCCAACAAGGCUCUGCAGUUCCUAGCAUAGCAGGAGCUACAGGUUGAGAGCAAGCAGCUGCCAGAAAAACCUCUGAUUUGCUCAAGUGGCUUUGGAAUGGCCACUUUUAUUGGCACAGCCUUGUUUGGGCUGCGAGCAGUCAGGGAGUCCCUGGGCAACUUUAUCUCAUCUCAAUUCUGAUGUGCAGGGGCACUGUGCAGUCAAAUCUUGUAGUUCUGGUGUUCGCCACUUACCUUUGCCUCACGCCUGGUAGUUGUCUCUGAAGACACCGAUUUCUACACUGACAAAUGUGCCAGUGAUGCUAAACAUGCUCGAAACAGAAACAGCUCUUUGUUCCAAACAGGCCACUGCACUGAUAAGGAAAUCAUGUCAACAGAUCAUCUGAUAAAAGUUAUUUAGCCUUAGAUUUUCUACUAGCUUAGAUGUGAUUUGAGUAUGAAAUUAUUGAGUAUAGCACUGUUUUCGCUGCCAUUAAGAGAAAUGAUAAAUCUCUCUUGAUUAGAUUUAUUGUAAAGCCAGGGAGCUGAGGAGAGCUUGUAACUCUUCUUUUUGUAAUCCCAUGACCCUGGUUAUGCAGUCUUUCGGCUUUCUGCACAUUACAGCACAUGCAACUGCCUGAAUUGUUUUUAUCUCUUCAGCCUGUUGUUCUUUGUUAAGGCCUAGCUCAACGCAAGAUGUACAGUUAAAAAAUAGGAAAGUGUCCAUUACAAGGCAAGGAUUUGGCUUUUUCUCUCCAGAGCACAUGAUGAAGGCCAUAAAUUUGUCAAGGAGAUAAGUUGGACUCAACCCACCAAGAUCAGUGUAUCAGUGCCAGUCGGGUCCCCUUCAUCCCAUGAUGUGCCAAGAAAUUUAUUACCUGCUGUGAGAUUUAACUGCACAAAUCCCUGGUGAAUUGAUAGGAGAGGAGAACCUUGCUGAGGUUUAUAGGGAGGGUCUUAAACCCUUAAAUGCUGGUGGCAGUGGCAUCCCCAUAAAGCCCUGCCAAUGGUAAUUUACAGACGAGGAGAUCGACUGUGUUUCCUCUGUGGAAAAUGGGGUUGAAAUAGCUGGGGCUCUCAGAGCUGAGUCGCAGCAUGGAGAAGGUCCACAGGGUGCCGCAGCUUCUGCAGAGCAUGCAGCUUCCACUUGAUUAAAUAAACCUGGGUCUCAGAAGAUCUGAAAAGCGGUUUUCAGAGAGUUCUGUCUAAGAGCUUGCAAGUUUUUCCAUUUCUUUUGAAAAGAAAUUUGCACUCAGAAAAUGAAAGAAUCUACAAAGCGAUAUUUUCUGAAGCAAACACUGACAUUAUGAGCAACUUAAGCACUUUCAUUGCAGCUCUGUGCUAAACUGUGGUUCUCGACUGACAAAACCGUCUCUUGCUAAAAGCAACUGUUAUAAAAUUAUGACUAGCACAUAUAUAAUGUUUGUGUUUAACAAGAUGACAGAAAUGCCACCUUAGUAAAAACUGAUUAUGGUUACAGCUGAACAAUUCACAUCAUGCAAGAUUUAUAAUAUUAAGGUUAUGCAAUCAUCUAAUCGGAGAGACAAGCCUUGAGUAAUAAUAUGAAAUGCAUGUACUUCAAUCUGCAGCAGUAGAUUCAUUGCUGGUUUCUUAUUAGCUCAUGCUAGCAUUAGGGCUGCAUUAUCCAUUUUGCCAUAGUCUAAUUCAGCAUUUCCAUCUGAAAACAUAUGCACAAUAAGUGAUGUAUGCCAAACAAUGAAAUGGAAACAAAGUCAUUUGAGUGACUUUGUGGCUAUAAAAAUAUACAUAAUCUGUAUGUCUUUCGGCACUUCUCAAUACUUUGUACUACAUUUAUUUGCAUGGAAAGUUUUCCCAAAAUAAAUAAAAACAGAUA
Long non-coding RNA from Meleagris gallopavo (turkey), 4043 nucleotides. RefSeq lists it as uncharacterized. The record is from RefSeq and is a predicted model, not a curated record. NCBI's taxonomy places the organism in Eukaryota, Metazoa, Chordata, Aves, Galliformes, Phasianidae.